CCGCGGGAAUUCGAUUAGAGUUUGAUCCUGGCUCAGAUUGAACGCUGGCGGCAGGCCUAACACAUGCAAGUCGAGCGGUAGAGAGAAGCUUGCUUCUCUUGAGAGCGGCGGACGGGUGAGUAAUGCCUAGGAAUCUGCCUGGUAGUGGGGGAUAACGUUCGGAAACGGACGCUAAUACCGCAUACGUCCUACGGGAGAAAGCAGGGGACCUUCGGGCCUUGCGCUAUCAGAUGAGCCUAGGUCGGAUUAGCUAGUUGGUGGGGUAAUGGCUCACCAAGGCGACGAUCCGUAACUGGUCUGAGAGGAUGAUCAGUCACACUGGAACUGAGACACGGUCCAGACUCCUACGGGAGGCAGCAGUGGGGAAUAUUGGACAAUGGGCGAAAGCCUGAUCCAGCCAUGCCGCGUGUGUGAAGAAGGUCUUCGGAUUGUAAAGCACUUUAAGUUGGGAGGAAGGGCAGUAAAUUAAUACUUUGCUGUUUUGACGUUACCGACAGAAUAAGCACCGGCUAACUCUGUGCCAGCAGCCGCGGUAAUACAAUCACUAGUGAAUUCGCGGCCGCCUGCAGGUCGACCAUAUGGGAGAGCUCCCCA
RNAcentral lists this ribosomal RNA (594 nucleotides) under uncultured Gammaproteobacteria bacterium. RNAcentral's name for it is "partial 16S ribosomal RNA". It matches the Rfam family "Bacterial small subunit ribosomal RNA", at positions 1 to 897 of the family's 1533-position model. Lineage: Bacteria; Pseudomonadati; Pseudomonadota; Gammaproteobacteria. The record is from RNAcentral.